AUAACAACAAGGAAAAUGAGAGCUGGGCGCAAGAUCAACAGGUUUCAGAUUUAUCGACGUUGUAAUAACAUGGUCAUAGACCCAGGGGCAAGGGAAUGGAAGAAGCCUUUUUCUAGAUGUUCUCCUGCGAUGAUGAUAUGUUGUAGACCACGGGCAGAAAAUAAUUGGAGGACUCCAGCAUGGCGUAAUGCUUGUAAGAAGCCUUGUGUUUACUGUGAGGCUGCUGGACUUCAGCGAGGAGGCAAAAAAUUGAAGUAUCCAUUAAG
Molecule: long non-coding RNA, 266 nt
Organism: Capsella rubella
Lineage: Eukaryota; Viridiplantae; Streptophyta; Magnoliopsida; Brassicales; Brassicaceae
Exons: 3
Source: RefSeq, a predicted model, not a curated record